AUAGAUGUGGUCGACGCGGGUCGAAGUAUAGUGCCUGUUAAUAUGAGCCUAAUAUGUGAUGCGGGUUGUAUUUAAACCUAGUAUAUUCAAGUUAUUUUUGCAAGUUGGCGGAAUGCUUAAUGCCUACAGCACCUCCUCCGCGGGUCGGCCCGGUAUUGUACUAUCUUCGGGAUCGGCCCACGUAUG
Small nuclear RNA from Dermacentor albipictus, 186 nucleotides. RefSeq annotates it as U2 spliceosomal RNA. NCBI's taxonomy places the organism in Eukaryota, Metazoa, Arthropoda, Arachnida, Ixodida, Ixodidae. The record is from RefSeq and is a predicted model, not a curated record.